UCUUCUUCUCCUUUGCGUGCUGCCAAACCCCUCCCCCCCAAUUUCUUCUUCUCCCAACUGUGCGAGGACCCAUGGUCAGCCCAGCCGCCGACACCAUUCAGCCCAGCAUCGAUGCUCGGGUUCACGCUAGUCGUUGAGCGUCCCUCGUUGAUGCCCAGUCAUAGCCGCUAGCCUCUAACACCGACUCCAGCGUCCGCCCACCAGAUCCAAUCGACAUCUCCAGCUUCUGUUCGCGCAAGCCUCUUCCAGCUGUCGUUCACUAUCGGUCCCCGUGCGUUGUCAGCGACAGCCUCCUUUUCUCGUCGAAGUUCUUCGAAUUUUAUCGUUUCAGGUAAGAUUUUGGACGUUUCAAGUCUGUUCUUGUUUGACUCCUUAGUGCCCAAUAAAUUUCUGGUAUGAUUUGAGUUACCCAUAAUGUUUUGAAGCUUUGAUCAAAGUUUCGAGGCGUUUUUCAACACUAUCCAGCAGCUUCGACGGUGAGCUUUAAGCGUUUUCGACAUACUUUGUGGAUAAGGUGUUGAAGAUUUAGAUGUGGGUUCGUAUAGUCUUGAAUACCCACGAAGUUUUAACUUUGGUUUUGGUUGCAUAAUGACUUAGGAGGUUGAUCUUGGCAAUUCUUGAUACUUCCAGCUUGGGCACUAUUAACUUAAGGUUGGAAGUGGGUUUGGAAUAAACCUCGCAUUGGGGAUUUAAUUCAAAGGCCAAGCUAGGCUAAGAGGAAAAUUACUUCGCUUCUUUCCGGCAUAAAAAUUGAGGUAAAGGUAAAGAUAGACCGAUGAAUGACAAGAGGGAUCCAUGACCUGACAGUUUGGACAUGUUAUUAAAGGAUCUCUCAAUGAAGAGUUCCAUGAGCGCGUUCGGAUCGCUCCAAUUUCAUCGUGACCGAAAUACACCAUAUACAUUCAAACGCACAGUUAUGCAAACAAACAGUAAUUAACGACAUGCUUUGAACAAAAAAUAACAAGGGACAGGGUUCUCAUACCAGUUGAAGACGCUCUUCGAGCUAUGGAACUCAAUGCAGCGGAAGACCUCUACCCGAUCAACAAACACCCAGCAGAUGCGUCGGCUACAGCAGCACGAACAACUGCAAACAAACGAACGCAGUGGGGACGACACCACCAGAAAAGAGCCCUAGUAUUCUCAGAGUGAGAAUCCAAAGCGUGGUCUUUAGUGAGUUUGGUAGAGGUAGGAGGAAGAACUGAUCGUAUAGACGAUAAACAAGUGGGAGAGUAUAGGAAGCUAUCGCAUAGCUAGAUGCUUACCGCUUAGAAGAAACUACACAAUUGUGUAGGUUUUACUGAACGAUCGUUUAGGAAAAAGUAGACGAUCGUUUAGCAAACACGACACAAUAUACGAUCGUUUAGGAACUAGCGUGCGAACGUUUAGGCGUGGGGUAUACAAUCGUUUAAGCACUAAGUGACUAUCAUAUAGGCUCUUGACUUAAGCGAUCGUUUACGUUUCCACACCAAUAAAAAACCUUACGAACUUUUC
Molecule: long non-coding RNA, 1491 nt
Organism: Benincasa hispida (wax gourd)
Lineage: Eukaryota; Viridiplantae; Streptophyta; Magnoliopsida; Cucurbitales; Cucurbitaceae
Source: RefSeq, a predicted model, not a curated record